Molecule: small nuclear RNA, 187 nt
Organism: Chiloscyllium plagiosum (whitespotted bambooshark)
Lineage: Eukaryota; Metazoa; Chordata; Chondrichthyes; Orectolobiformes; Hemiscylliidae
Product: U2 spliceosomal RNA
Source: RefSeq, a predicted model, not a curated record
AAUGCUUCUCCACCUUUUGGCUAAGAUCCAGUCAGUAUUUUCUUAUCAGUGUAAUAUCUGACACAUCCCUUAAUUGGGGAUCAUAUUAAAUUGAUUUUUGGAACAGGGACAUGGUUAGGAGGCUUCAGAAGACCCUGUUCUGAAGAAGGGUCAUAGGACUCAAAACAUUAACAGUUUUCUAUCUACA